CUGAUCACCAAACAGACCACCAUGCACACAGUUCUUAGAUAAAUUCUGCGCUGGAGAUUGUUGAAGAUUGAAGAGGCGCUGUCAGUGUCCUUUUGUGUAUGAACUGGGAAGAAAUGGAUCACUAAUUAUUUAUGUCAUAAAUCAAAAACAAGGCCAGGGAGUUACGGAGUCAAGUAA
Molecule: long non-coding RNA, 177 nt
Organism: Myripristis murdjan (pinecone soldierfish)
Lineage: Eukaryota; Metazoa; Chordata; Actinopteri; Holocentriformes; Holocentridae
Exons: 2
Source: RefSeq, a predicted model, not a curated record